This 2054-nucleotide long non-coding RNA is filed under the name Podarcis lilfordi (Lilford's wall lizard). Lineage: Eukaryota; Metazoa; Chordata; Lepidosauria; Squamata; Lacertidae. The record is from RNAcentral.
AUCUCCCCAUCCAAAAAGCUUCUAUUGAGCCCAGACAGAAAGCUUCUAUUCAUUUUAAUUUUAUUAUAUGUAAGUUAUUUCAUUAUUUAUUGGCUUUAAAUUGUAAAAUGUGGUAGUAGAUAAAUUCCCUACCCUACCCUCCCUGCUAGUGGAUACUGAUGCCACCUUUCUUGCUUGCUUGCUUGCUUGCUUGCUUUCUUGCUUUCUUGCUUUCUUGCUUUCUUGCUUUCUUGCUUUCUUGCUUUCCAUCAAAUUAACUUAAGCAAUGCCAGAAGUGCCAACUUGGCCCCGUGACCAUGGGUGUCUGGGGCCGUGGGUGCCAUGCAGUGUGCAUAGCCCUAGCACCAAAAUUUGUGGGUGUCCGGCCCCUUCAUGGGGAAUUUUGUGGGUGCUCAGGCACCCAGGGCCCCAGGGAGUUGGCACCUAUGAGCAAUGCUGGGUCCAUUGCAUUUUAAUAUUCAUUCUCUCUCCAUAAUGAUACAUCUACAACAAAAGGUAUCCACCAACCAGACUCUAGCUGUUCUGCAACAAGCUUUAAACUCUAAUGAAGCUUAAACUUCAAAGGGAAACAAAAUCUAACAGCACGUCGAAAUGGCUAUUUAUAAAGAAAAUAACAAUCUCUGUCCCAUUUCCAAGGGACCUGGCUGACCUGCACACACUGAAAUCUCAAUGCUACUGAAUCAAGGCGAUUCCUGGUGGUACCUGCUGAAAGACUCAGGAGGCUGCUGCCAUAAGAAUAUCGAUCAUAGUAGUGUCUGUCAGUCAUCCUUUACUAUUGAAAUUAUUAUUGACCCAGAAACUUGCUAAUUCGCAUCCACACACCCCUGUGUAUUCCUAAUUGUGGUGAAAGUGCUCCUCAGCUGUCAGCAGAGAUUUGAUAAGGCAACAGGACACUUGUUUUCAUGGAACGCUUUGCUGCAAUUUUAAUGAAAUGAACCAAGAGCAUCCCAAAUAAGACGGGACAGGUGUCAGAUAUGCAAAGCAACACUGUACCUUUAUGAGAUGUGCAGAAAAGGGAAUCCCAGCAGGCACAGCCAUUCUUACCCCUGUGUGGCAAAAUCCACUCACUGGCAUUGACUUUAGGAUCCGUGUUGAUCUUUCAAUCUAGUCACUCUGUGUGGGGGUGAGCUUUUUCCUUGCCACAGGAAUAUGGUGAUUCCCAAUCCCAUACACCCUAGGGUACAAUCAAGCUGAAAGCUGCUAUCGUUCACCAGAGAGCCAAGCAGGUACUUGGACUGUCAAGUGGAAGACAGGGGAGGCUCGGCGCAUGGGAUUAGACCAUUAGUCUGCGAUGCUUUGCUAACCACUGUUUUGCGAAAGUAACACCACAGUUUCCAGCAGCCUUAAAUCCAGACUCUGACUCAUGAGGCCAUCACAGCAUUCGAGCAAUAAAUCAUCUAGUAAUUAUGCCAAUAACUGUUCCUGUUUGGUACACUAAGCAAAACAAAUCCUUUGUUACGUUUUCUCAGCACUGUGGUACAAAAAUAACUUGCGGUCUAUUCUUGACGUCUGUUCCUUUUCACAUGCAAUUCUUUCCAUCUUCUCUGAAUGCUACAACUGGGCAUCAUUUCUAGAGCACUUUCUGCUUGCCCUCACAACAACCUUCUGAUAAUGGGUCACUAUCUUCUCUCAUUUUACAGAUGGCAAACAGAAGUGGAGAGACAAAAUGACUUCAUCACGGUAACUCAAGAUGACAAAAGUAGCGCUUGAAUCCAAGUCCCAUAUCCACCUCUGCCACUCCAGCUCCUGGACCUUCCUGGAUCUAAAUGUGGGAUGCUUUUUAGAAAAAGCAAGGGGAUGGUGGAAGCAAAGAGGGCUUUCAUUCAUUGCCCUCCCGGCUGCUGAUUUGUCCCUCCAAGAAUAUCUGCACGGACUUCCUCUCCCUUAUUUCCUUCUUUGGCAUCCUAGCAGCAGGAAAGCCCACAAGAGGGACAUACAGAACAAUCCUAUAUAGGUUUCCUGAGUAGUAAACAGAAUUCAAAGGGCUGACUCCGGCAUCAAGGUGCAUAGGAUCGCAGCAUAUUAAUGCAUCCACAUGGUAGUUUUGGAAGGGG